AAGAAGGCCUUUCGGGUUGUAAAGUACUUUCAGCAGUGAGGAAGGUGGUGCAGUUAAUAGCUGUAUCAUUUGACGUUAGCUGCAGAAGAAGCACCGGCUAACUCCGUGCCAGCAGCCGCGGUAAUACGGAGGGUGCGAGCGUUAAUCGGAAUUACUGGGCGUAAAGCGCAUGCAGGUGGUUUGUUAAGUCAGAUGUGAAAGCCCGGGGCUCAACCUCGGAAUUGCAUUUGAAACUGGCAGACUAGAGUACUGUAGAGGGGGGUAGAAUUUCAGGUGUAGCGGUGAAAUGCGUAGAGAUCUGAAGGAAUACCGGUGGCGAAGGCGGCCCCCUGGACAGAUACUGACACUCAGAUGCGAAAGCGUGGGGAGCAAACAGGAUUAGAUACCCUGGUAGUCCACGCCGUAAACGAUGUCUACUUGGAGGUUGUGGCCUUGAGCCGUGGCUUUCGGAGCUAACGCGUUAAGUAGACCGCCUGGGGAGUACGGUCGCAAGAUUAAAACUCAAAUGAAUUGACGGGGGCCCGCACAAGCGGUGGAGCAUGUGGUUUAAUUCGAUGCAACGCGAAGAACCUUACCUACUCUUGACAUCCUCAGAAGCUUGUAGAGAUACGAGUGUGCCUUCGGGAACUGAGAGACAGGUGCUGCAUGGCUGUCGUCAGCUCGUGUUGUGAAAUGUUGGGUUAAGU
Molecule: ribosomal RNA, 686 nt
Filed under: Vibrio variabilis
Lineage: Bacteria; Pseudomonadati; Pseudomonadota; Gammaproteobacteria; Vibrionales; Vibrionaceae
Description: bacterial SSU rRNA
Rfam family: Bacterial small subunit ribosomal RNA
Source: RNAcentral